Molecule: ribosomal RNA, 564 nt
Filed under: uncultured bacterium
Lineage: Bacteria
Description: bacterial SSU rRNA
Rfam family: Bacterial small subunit ribosomal RNA
Source: RNAcentral
CCUACGGGAGGCAGCAGUGGGGAAUAUUGCGCAAUGGGCGAAAGCCUGACGCAGCGACGCCGCGUGAGGGAUGAAGGCCUUCGGGUUGUAAACCUCUUUCAGCAGGGACGAAAUCAGACGGUACCUGCAGAAGAAGCACCGGCCAACUACGUGCCAGCAGCCGCGGUAAUACGUAGGGUGCAAGCGUUGUCCGGAAUUAUUGGGCGUAAAGAGCUCGUAGGCGGUUUGUCGCGUCGGCUGUGAAAACUCGGGGCUCAACCCCGAGCCUGCAGUCGAUACGGGCAGACUAGAGUGCUGUAGGGGAGACUGGAAUUCCUGGUGUAGCGGUGAAAUGCGCAGAUAUCAGGAGGAACACCGGUGGCGAAGGCGGGUCUCUGGGCAGUAACUGACGCUGAGGAGCGAAAGCGUGGGGAGCAAACAGGAUUAGAUACCCUGGUAGUCCACGCCGUAAACGGUGGGUGCUAGGUGUAGGUCGUAUUCCACGCGAUCUGUGCCGCAGCUAACGCAUUAAGCACCCCGCCUGGGGAGUACGGCCGCAAGGCUAAAACUCAAAGGAAUUGACGG